AAUCAAUACCUAACUUAGUCUGAAGUAAAUUUAGCAAUAAAAAUGAAACUCCUGGCUUUUCUGCUUCUUAGCUUGUAUAUUUUUGGUGUGUCAUCUGAAGAGGUAAGCAGCACUGAAACCUGUCUGAGCUACUGUGCACUAAACCAUAAGCCUGUUUGUGGAAAUAAUGGAACGUGCAGAUUUGAAUUCAAAAAUGUGUGCUAUAUGAAAAAUGCUAAUUGCUUUUCCACUGAGCACGGUAGGCCAGAAUUCAAAUUAAAUAACAAAGGACCAUGCCUUGGCAAUAGAAACAAAUGUAUUGGUGUUCAAAUGGAAUAGGACUGUCUACAAGAGCCAGGAUAUUUAUAGGUGGACAUCGCAAAAGUUCCCCCUGACCACAAAGCUGAGUUACAGAGCUUUUUCUAACACCGGAAACGGAAGUCACAAAGGCACAAGAAAACUUUUACUUUCCCAUGAUUGUUAAAUUGAAUAAAAAAAGCAAAAUUUGAAAUAUCCUGAA
Drosophila kikkawai is the source of this 499-nucleotide non-coding RNA. NCBI's taxonomy places the organism in Eukaryota, Metazoa, Arthropoda, Insecta, Diptera, Drosophilidae. The record is from RefSeq and is a predicted model, not a curated record.